Molecule: long non-coding RNA, 524 nt
Organism: Pieris napi
Lineage: Eukaryota; Metazoa; Arthropoda; Insecta; Lepidoptera; Pieridae
Exons: 2
Source: RefSeq, a predicted model, not a curated record
ACUUUAUGAACUUUGGAAAUAUAAAAUCUAGUGAGCAAUACUAAGUAAUGAAAAAGAGAAGCUAAUAAGACAACUUAAAAUAUUUAAAAAAACCACAAAUGGACAAGUUUUACUAAAGUCUUAUCUUUUAAUUAAUUUUAGUGUUAGGUAUAUUAUGUACCUGAAAAUGGGGAAUGAAGCAUUUUAUGAAUAAUGUAAAAAAUAAGACAAGUGGAGUAUGAAAUAAUGGUUGGUUAAGUAACAUUACCUCAUGAACAGGAAACAGUAACUGAAACUAUGUUCUUCCACAUUUAAUCUUAAUAAGUUCAGCAGUUUGAAUGUCAAUGAGAUAUUAUUAUAAACAAACUGGAUUUGUAGAUUUUGGGAAGAAUUAUAUCUUUAAAAUACCUAACUAUUAUUAUUUACAAUUGUUGUCUUAAGGAAACAAUCAGGAUGUAUUCAUAGUAACUGUAGGUAUCAUAGUAAUUUUAUGAAAUCAUCACAACAUCUAACGUUAGGUUUUAUGAAUUGAACAAUUUUUUGUA